Molecule: ribosomal RNA, 252 nt
Filed under: uncultured bacterium
Lineage: Bacteria
Description: partial 16S ribosomal RNA
Rfam family: Bacterial small subunit ribosomal RNA
Source: RNAcentral
UACGUAGGGGGCAAGCGUUGUCCGGAAUUAUUGGGCGUAAAGCGCGCGCAGGCGGUUCUUUAAGUCUGGUGUUUAAACCCGAGGCUCAGCUUCGGGUCGCACUGGAAACUGGGGGACUUGAGUGCAGAAGAGGAGAGUGGAAUUCCACGUGUAGCGGUGAAAUGCGUAGAUAUGUGGAGGAACACCAGUGGCGAAGGCGACUCUCUGGGCUGUAACUGACGCUGAGGCGCGAAAGCGUGGGGAGCAAACAGG